ACACUCACUCUUUGCAGACCAUAACAUGUCAGCCUUUGGGCAGCUUCUUGUCAUGUGCUCAGAGUAGACAGAUGUGUUGGAACAAGUGAUCUGUGGCUGGAAAGUCAUCAUUCCAGUUGGUUUAUGGAGAGCUAAUGAAGUCAAAGGAAUUGUGCAGUGAGGGAAUAGAUAAUGAAGUACCUACCCAUUAGUAACUGUCUGAGCCAGCUUGGUCUUGCAGAAUAUUGCAUGCUUUUUGAACAAUAUGAUGGCAUAGAGGACUUAUUCCAUCUUACAGAAGUUGAUCUUAGAAAAAUGGGAGUUGAGAACUGAGUCCACAUAACACACAUCAUUUCCAAUAUUCUACUGAUUCAGGAUGUAGAAAGAAAGA
Long non-coding RNA from Neopsephotus bourkii (Bourke's parrot), 370 nucleotides. RefSeq lists it as uncharacterized. The record is from RefSeq and is a predicted model, not a curated record. NCBI's taxonomy places the organism in Eukaryota, Metazoa, Chordata, Aves, Psittaciformes, Psittacidae. The transcript is spliced from 3 exons.